CUGCAAUUUCACUGCUCAAUUCACUGUCAUUUAGGAGUUAAAUCACUUUGUUUCUGUUUAUGCAGCCCUAGCCACACCUCCCCUGGCUAUGAUUGACAGAGCCUGCAUGAAAGAAAAACUGGUUUCACUUUCAAACAGAUGUAAUUUACCUUAAAUAAUUGUAUCUCAAUCUCUAAAUUGAACUUUAAUCACAUACAGGAGGCUCUUGCAGGGUCUAGCAAGCUAUUAACAUAGCAGGGGAUAAGAAACUCUUAAUUAAACAGAACUUGCAAUAAAGAAAGCCUAAAUAGGGCUCUCUUUACAGGAAGUGUUUAUGGAAGGCUGUGCAAGUCACAUGCAGGGAGGUGUGACUAGGGUUCACAAACAAAGGGAUUUAACUCUUAAAUGGCAGAGGAUUGAGCAGUGAGGC
Pelobates cultripes (western spadefoot toad) is the source of this 409-nucleotide non-coding RNA. The record is from the annotation of a GenBank genome assembly. NCBI's taxonomy places the organism in Eukaryota, Metazoa, Chordata, Amphibia, Anura, Pelobatidae.